CAGCCGCCACGGUAACACGUAGGGUGCGAGCGUUAAUCGGAAUUACUGGGCGUAAAGCGUGCGCAGGCGGUUUGUUAAGACAGAUGUGAAAUCCCCGGGCUCAACCUGGGAACUGCAUUUGUGACUGGCAAGCUAGAGUGUGGCAGAGGGGGGUGGAAUUCCGCGUGUAGCAGUGAAAUGCGUAGAUAUGCGGAGGAACACCGAUGGCGAAGGCAGCCCCCUGGGCCAACACUGACGCUCAUGCACGAAAGCGUGGGGAGCAAACAGGAUUAGAUACCCCUGUAGUCCCUGUCUCUUAUAC
This 301-nucleotide ribosomal RNA is filed under the name uncultured bacterium. RNAcentral's name for it is "partial 16S ribosomal RNA". It matches the Rfam family "Bacterial small subunit ribosomal RNA", at positions 509 to 807 of the family's 1533-position model. The record is from RNAcentral.